AUGUGGCCCACUUCCAAGUGCAUCUGCGCGCCGGCCACCCACGACGGGUCCUUCAAGUGCCGCUUCCACCGCACCAACUCCCAGGGCCAGGGAAGCCGCCCUUCUUCGCCCCCUUCACCGGCCGCGGCCAACGCGGUGCCGCGGCACCCAGCCUCGCCGUUCUCGUCCUCCGGCACCGUCAUGACCCAGUGA
This 192-nucleotide ribosomal RNA is filed under the name Triticum aestivum (bread wheat). RNAcentral describes it as "partial small subunit ribosomal RNA". Lineage: Eukaryota; Viridiplantae; Streptophyta; Magnoliopsida; Poales; Poaceae. The record is from RNAcentral.